Molecule: long non-coding RNA, 516 nt
Filed under: Mus spicilegus (steppe mouse)
Lineage: Eukaryota; Metazoa; Chordata; Mammalia; Rodentia; Muridae
Description: lncRNA (ENSMSIG00000005385.1)
Source: RNAcentral
AUGGCAGUUUCCUGCCCUAGCCUCUUCUCUCGGCCUAUCUUCAUUCAUGUGACAAUGCUGAAGAAAGGGUUCAGGAGCCAUCAAACCCUCUCUUUACCACCGUCUCACCACCAGGAUGAAGCUACCCUCUUCUCCGUGGCAAGAAUGGAAAAUAAACAAAUGGCGUGCCAGAGAUCUGUUGUAAGGAUUUGGUCCACCUGCAAGGUAGCUUUGGGAACCUUAUCUUUCCAGAGAAAUUAUUUCCAGAGGACUUGGAUGGUGAGAGAAGAAUGGUGGGAGUGCAGAAUGCUGAACAUGAGGUCAAAGGCAGGAUGAAGUCAUGAACAUCAUGGAGAGGGGGUAGUAUGUGCGCAAGUCUGAGGCCUCUGGGGCCUCUGUAUAGGUGAGAGAAACAAAGAACUGGUAUGUGGUUGGGGGGAUAAAAAAAAGUAUGUGUCUGGGUCACUUUGUUCUGCCUAGCCUCCCUAACUCCUCUGGGGGUAGUUUAGGAUAGAAUGGGUCAGGUAGGUGUUGGAC